Molecule: ribosomal RNA, 585 nt
Filed under: uncultured bacterium
Lineage: Bacteria
Description: bacterial SSU rRNA
Rfam family: Bacterial small subunit ribosomal RNA
Source: RNAcentral
UAACACCGGCAGCUCUAGUGGUAGCUGUUUUUAUUGGGCCUAAAGCGUUCGUAGCCGGUUUGAUAAGUCACUGGUGAAAUCCUGUAGCUUAACUGUGGGAAUUGCUGGUGAUACUGUUGAACUUGAGGUCGGGAGAGGUUAGCGGUACUCCCAGGGUAGAGGUGAAAUUCUGUAAUCCUGGGAGGACCACCUGUGGCGAAGGCGGCUAACUGGAACGAACCUGACGGUGAGGGACGAAAGCUAGGGGCGCGAACCGGAUUAGAUACCCGGGUAGUCCUAGCCGUAAACGAUGCGGACUUGGUGUUGGGAUGGCUUUGAGCCGCUCCGGUACCGAAGGGAAGCUGUUAAGUCCGCCGCCUGGGGAGUACGCCGGCAACGGUGAAACUCAAAGGAAUUGACGGGGGCCCGCACAAGCGGAGGAACAUGUGGUUUAAUUCGAUGAUACGCGAGGAACCUUACCGGGCUUGAAAGUUAGUGACGGCGGAUGAAAGUCUGCUUCCCUUCGGGGCGCGAAACUAGGUGCUGCAUGGUUGUCGUCAGCUCGUGCCGUGAGGUGUCGGCUUAAGUGCCAUAACGAGCGCAACC